UGAGGAAUAUUGCGCAAUGGGGGCAACCCUGACGCAGCGACGCCGCGUGGAUGAUGAAGGCCUUCGGGUUGUAAAAUCCUGUCAGAUGGGAAGAAAUGUACGAUUAUUAAGAGUAGUCGUAUUUGACGGUACCAUCAAAGGAAGCACCGGCUAACUCCGUGCCAGCAGCCGCGGUAAUACGGAGGGUGCGAGCGUUGUUCGGAAUUACUGGGCGUAAAGCGCGCGUAGGCGGCCAUGCAAGUCAGAUGUGAAAGCCCACGGCUCAACCGUGGACGUGCAUUUGAAACUGGGUGGCUUGAGUACUGGAGGGGGUGGUGGAAUUCCCGGUGUAGAGGUGAAAUUCGUAGAGAUCGGGAGGAAUACCGGUGGCGAAGGCGACCACCUGGCCAGAUACUGACGCUGAGGUGCGAAAGCGUGGGGAGCAAACA
This 428-nucleotide ribosomal RNA is filed under the name uncultured bacterium. Its description in RNAcentral is "bacterial SSU rRNA". It matches the Rfam family "Bacterial small subunit ribosomal RNA", at positions 355 to 774 of the family's 1533-position model. The record is from RNAcentral.